GGGGAUUAAAUUCAGAAUAAUGUAUUGCUGUUUUGUAAAUAAUAUUUAAUCAUGUAAUCCAUAAAAAAGUAACUGUAGUCUGAUUGAGUUUUAUAAAAUUUUAUUUAAUCUAAUUACAAGUUCUUUAUUUACUGGAAUCUGUUUACGUAAUCCAGAUUACAUGUAAUCAGUUACUACUGAGCUCAGAACAGGGAUUAGUUUAAAUCAGGACUAUAGGUCCUAGUUUUGCUUUUAUGAAAAUGGUGCAUGUAUGCAUCUUGAGAUGAAACAAUGGCACUGACAUAUUGUAAGGAAUGUCAUUGCAAGUUAUUUUCAUUUAAGACAGCUCACAUGCAUUUUAGUCUGGGACUAGCCUUAAGCCUGGUCUGUGAAACCAGGUAUAUAAUAGACAUUAUUUACUUCAGUACAACUGUUAAACCUACAAAUGUCAAUGAUUUUUACCAUCUUUUGCAUCAUUGCUUUUUCUGAUAAUUGUCUUUCCAAUUUGUCUAGUUCCUCCAUGGUUGUGUGAGGAAAGACAUCAUCCUCGCUGUCCACCAGCAGCACUGGAGCACUGGAACGUCUGUUAGCUGCAAGGGACUGGACCACUGAAGUCAGAUGAUUGAUCUUCAUGUCCAGUUCGUUAAGUGCCUCCAGAAUUGUCCUCUCAACAGCUGCAACACAUUAGAUGGGUGUUCACCCCAAGCAUCCUCAUUUUCAUUGGACAAGCUCACUGGAACAGCUGGAGUUAAGAAAGGUGAAGUUGUGCAAUUUAUUCUGCUUACCUGACUCAUGCAGACUUCUGUCCUGAUGUUUGGCUGUGGUCCCCCCAUCAUCCACUCUUCAGCAACCGGUCUAUUUAUGGAGACCACCAUGAUCUAAUCUAUACAGAUCUAGUUGUCUCUUCUCCCACAAACUCCUCUUUCAGUUAUGUUUUUUCUUUGUUGUUGUUUGUUGUUGUUUCAACAGUGUUGACUGUAUUUUUGUAUACCAAAACACAGGGCUGCACAAUUUUGAAGAAAAUUGCAUUAUGCGAUUGCGAUAACUUGUUAAAUAAUUCAAUAUUUGAAAUGCAAUUCAAUAAUGCUCAAAGUGUUUAAAAUAAACUUAAAUUAUAUGAAGGUAUAUUUAAAAUCUGAAAACUCAAUAACUCAUAUUAAUGUUUCACAUUCUUUUUGUGAGAAGCAUGACCACAACUUCUGAACACCUGUGCUUACUCUAGCAUUACACAAAAAGUGCCUUUUUAACAGAAGUGUAAACCAGGGGGUUUAGGGUUUCAAGUAGGCCCAGAUUAUGUUUAUUUAAGAGCAGAAACUAACUAAUCAAAUGUAAAAAUUUAACACUGCUUUACUAUAUGAAUUAAAUACACACUGAUUCUUAUUAAAGCUACAAAAGGUAUUCAGUCAUGAGCAAAGAGAUUUUCUCUGUCUUCUGUUGUUUGAUUCAUAUUAAGCACACAGAAGAAACAGGUUUAUUUAGUUGCUGUAACUUUUAAGUGUUGCAAUAUUUUGUUACACGCACACUUUCUGAACUGUUUGGUCCACUUAACUGAUAUAACCAACUGUGUAUGUGAAUACUCACCAAGACAAUAAUUUUUUACAUAAUUUUGGGUAGGACUGCACAAUAUAUCAAAAUCGCAAAUGUACAUAUUGCAAUAUGCAUAUUGCAACAGCUUGCAAUAACUGCAUGACUUUAAUACUUCAAAAGAUUACAAAAAGAUUUAAGUUGAUACAUACAGCAGAGAGUAGACUGUUACAUACGUGUGACAUACUUUAUAUUAUUAAUGCAGUAAGUGAAGUAAUCACAUGCACAGAAAGUCACUUCUGAUUAAAAAGUUAAGAAAGAGAGCACACGUGUUACAAUAUUUUGGAUCCAUGCAGCUCUUAAAAUGACAGCAGUCUGUUAAACCUGCUUCUAUCUGUGUGCUUAAAAGGGAUAGGUCACCCAAAAGUUUAUAUUAGCCUAUUAUUUACUCACCCUUAAGACAUGCUAGGUGUAUAUGACUUCCUUCUUUCAGAUGAAUCCAAUCAGAGUUGUAUUAAAAACUGACUUUGAUCUUCCAAGAUGUUUAAUGGCACUCAGCGGGUGUUGCAGUUCAUCAGUCUAAAAUAAAUCAAGCGCAUCCAUUCAUAAUAAAAAUAGUGUCUCAAACAGCUCUGGGGGGUGAACAAAGGCCUCCUGUAGUGAAGCAAUGCGUUUUUGUAAGAAAAAUAUCCAUAUUCAAAAUAUAAUAAUCAAUUUAAUCUAGCUUGCGCUCACUGUUGUACACGGAAGCAGCUCCACAAGGAUGACUUAUGUACACUUUGGGUUUGUCAGACAGGAUGAGUACUGCAUUGAGUUCUUUGUCGAGGCUUAUUACACUUAACUUCAGUUCAGAUAUGUAUUCUCAUCCAUGCAUUGUUUUUAUUUGCUCUAACAUGUCAAUAACUUUAGUAGUCCUGGGUCCCGUUCUUCGUACAUUGCUUACUCAGUUAGCUGGAUUUGAUUGUUGAUGAUUUGGCAUGAUCUUGGAUCAUUUGGCUCUUUGAAGCUCAUCCCGGAGUUGCUGUCAGAGCAACAUGUCCGUAAGCUUAAACCUGCUCGGGAGCAGCUUAUUUCAUGUAAACAGGAUUAGAUUGCAUCUUUUUAAGCAGAACUGAUACUUAAAAUCUGUCCGCUACCAUCGCUACUUUAUUAGUAGAGUAUCGUACUGAUACAGGGACAAUAAUUUAAAAUAAUAAUCAGUUAAAAAUUAAUUUAAAGAUAAUAUAAUAAUGUUGUGUAGUCUUUAAUACUAUAGACACAGCCAGUUUUACUCACUGAAAGAUUUAAUCGGCAUAAAAUAAUUACUUCAUAAUUGUAUUCGAGUCUUACACACAGAUAAUGUAGAGUCGUGCAUUAAUUUGAGUGGUGACAGAUAUUAUAGUGGUUUGAUGGAGUGCAGGAGAUGAAGAUAACAUGAUCUUGACCCUUAAGAAACUUUAAUUAAUGCUGUCACGUAAAAAAAGCUGUUCAAAUAUAAAAUUUAAUUUGAAAUAUGAAUUGCUAAUUACUACAUUGAAAUAAAAAUGUAAAGCCUGUUCAAAUAAUUGAAGUCGUGAAUAUAAAUAAUUGGGAAUCAUGUAAAAAAAAAAAAAAAACAGUCCACAUUUUCAUUUAUCUAUUAUAACAUUUAUGUAGUUUUGUUCGCUUGGCUGUUUCCUUAUAAAAGUCCAGAAAUUUGUCAAGUUUUUCGUCAGGUGUCUUUUUUAAUCAUAUGAUGACAUUACGUUGCUGUCUUGCCACCGGCCAAUCACUGCACUGCUGAUCGUGGUUUAGAGUAUCGAUACAUAACCCCUUUUAAACCAACCCAUGAAUGUGCAAUUAUCUCAGAUAACUCAAUCCAGCCAUACUAAUCAUCAACAACAGGUGCGUUCAAAGAGCCGAAUUAGCCAGAUCCUGAUUAGCGCGAUAUCAUCAUCAUCUUGGAGGUGACAUUUCAUCUCAGAUGUAUUAAGUGACGUACGAAGAACAGACCCCUGUGCUGCAUUGGAUAUAUUUACAUACCACAAACAAUACAGCAAUAAAAUCUUUGAGUAGACACUCUUAUUGUCACCACAAUAUACAUUUCAUACCACCCAACCCAAAAAUAACUUUUGUGUGUCAAUCUUUAUCAGGGUCCGGUGACAACUAGGGGGUGUCGACAAACUUCCAUUGAGGACCAUUAGACCACUCAAGAAGAAUUACCUCAUAUGACCAAGAUUUAAUGUUGUAAAGCAGAUUUUGAGCGGAUCUCCUUCAUUCUGCCGCCAGCUCACCAGAACCUCUGGGUGCACCAGCUGUGGAUAUUACAGGCCAAACUUUGGUUUUCACAUUGUUUGGAGGACAAAAUCGGGCAGGAUGUAGGGGCCCACAGUUUGGGCACGCAUACACAGGGCAGCUUUGGACACCCUAGGACAACAUGCUAAGAAGCACAGAUCUACCGAUAGCCCUCCAUCAUUCCCACAUCCAUCUUGCAACAAAGUUUCAUUAAGUGCAGUCCAUAACUAGUGUCUGCCAUACACGGUUUAUUAUGGAUUAUAAGGAUUAUUCUAUUAGAGAUCUUUCUAUUUUUUUUGAGACUGUUAUUAUGUAGUCUGUUAUGUUGUGAAUAAAGUCAAACCCCC
This is a long non-coding RNA of Cyprinus carpio carpio, 4103 nucleotides long. Lineage: Eukaryota; Metazoa; Chordata; Actinopteri; Cypriniformes; Cyprinidae. The record is from Ensembl.